AAGUCGAACGAAGCACUUUAUUUGAUUUCCUUCGGGACUGAUUAUUUUGUGACUGAGUGGCGGACGGGUGAGUAACGCGUGGGUAACCUGCCUUGUACAGGGGGAUAACAGUUGGAAACGGCUGCUAAUACCGCAUAAGCGCACAGCAUCGCAUGAUGCAGUGUGAAAAACUCCGGUGGUAUAAGAUGGACCCGCGUUGGAUUAGCUAGUUGGUGAGGUAACGGCCCACCAAGGCGACGAUCCAUAGCCGACCUGAGAGGGUGACCGGCCACAUUGGGACUGAGACACGGCCCAAACUCCUACGGGAGGCAGCAGUGGGGAAUAUUGCACAAUGGGCGAAAGCCUGAUGCAGCGACGCCGCGUGAGCGAAGAAGUAUUUCGGUAUGUAAAGCUCUAUCAGCAGGGAAGAUAAUGACGGUACCUGACUAAGAAGCACCGGCUAAAUACGUGCCAGCAGCCGCGGUAAUACGUAUGGUGCAAGCGUUAUCCGGAUUUACUGGGUGUAAAGGGAGCGCAGGCGGUGCGGCAAGUCUGAUGUGAAAGCCCGGGGCUCAACCCCGGUACUGCAUUGGAAACUGUCGUACUAGAGUGUCGGAGGGGUAAGCGGAAUUCCUAGUGUAGCGGUGAAAUGCGUAGAUAUUAGGAGGAACACCAGUGGCGAAGGC
RNAcentral lists this ribosomal RNA (665 nucleotides) under uncultured Lachnospiraceae bacterium. RNAcentral describes it as "bacterial SSU rRNA". It matches the Rfam family "Bacterial small subunit ribosomal RNA", at positions 59 to 722 of the family's 1533-position model. Lineage: Bacteria; Bacillati; Bacillota; Clostridia; Lachnospirales; Lachnospiraceae. The record is from RNAcentral.